This is a long non-coding RNA of Ctenopharyngodon idella (grass carp), 5352 nucleotides long. RefSeq lists it as uncharacterized. The record is from RefSeq and is a predicted model, not a curated record. The transcript is spliced from 2 exons. Lineage: Eukaryota; Metazoa; Chordata; Actinopteri; Cypriniformes; Xenocyprididae.
AUCUGGGUUAUUACUGCCCAAACUGGUUAGUGAACCUUUUCUUAGUUUGAUUAUUUUUAACAACUUUUUGACAACUGAAAAAAAGGACAUGAGUCAUAACCACAAGAUAGAGAGAGAUUCUAGAUGACUUAGAUCACAGGAAGCUCCAUCACAAAAGUUUGUCACUGCACUCACACAUGGAGCUCAGAAAUAAACAAUGACUGUAACUCCUAAAACUAAUAAAAAGUUUAAUGCAUUAAAUCAAUCUGAGAUCUGAACAUGAUCUGUCAUUCCUUUUUGGAUUUGCUGAAGUACGAGAACACAUACACAACCAUCAAACCAAUAUUUAUUUCAGCAUCAUCAAACAAAUGGCACCAAAUGUCACAGUUAAAACCUUUGAGAAACAUUUAACAAUACGUGGGGUCUUAUGAGGCUAAGCGAGCAUUUUCCUUCCCAGAUGGAUUUAUAGAAUAAAUAAACUUCACAGAGAGCGCUGAAUCGAGUAGAAAUUAAGCAGUGUUUUGUUCAAAGGUGAAUGCCAUUUAGUUUGUGAGGAGGGGCAAUGCCACCUGCUGCAUCUGGGCCCAGCGCCAAGUGGAAAUGACUCACUGUCCACGCUACGGAUGGUUAACCGGCGGCCAUUAACACAUUAAACACACUGAAGGAGGCCGGCACACGCACAUACAGGCCAUUAACACAUUAAACACUCCACUACGUAUGCGGACGUCCACGCAAUUGUUUUUUUCCUCUUUCUAUCAUCAGCCCAGUGACUCAUAGUGACAUUCAUAAUCCUCUCCUUCCCGUGACAUCAGCAACCCUCUGGGAUCUAUUGAUUAAAAAUCAGAGCUCCUGAAAUACAAAAACACAAUGCAGAGGGUCUCAUGUGUCCUCAGGAGAGGGGUUAAUAAUGGAGGGACUGGAGCACUGGUUCUCAACUGCUGGACAAAUUCGUCUGUCAGCUGGUAGAAGCUAGUUACAGGGAAAAUUUGAAAAUUCUGUCAUCAUGUACUCACCCUUGGUGACAUUCUUCUGUGGAACAUGAGAGAAGAUAUCUCGAAGAACGGUGUUAACCGAACAUUUUUGAUGACUAUCUCAGUAAUAUUUCUCAAAAUAUGUUUUUUUGUUUUCCCCAGAAGAAAGGAAGUGCAGGUUUGGAGCAACAUGAGGGUGACAAAAUGAUGACAGAAUAAGCAUUUUUUGGGGGACCUUUAAAUCAAGCAGAUGGGUCAAUGACAUGGCACUCAGUAUUAAUUUAUUCAAAAUGCAAUUCAUAAAUGAUAAGAAAUAUGAAUUUCUUGUAAAAGAAACUCUUGUUAAGUUAAGUAGUGGCAGAAUCUUUAUCAUUAUUUCUUAGGGAGAAAAAAAUAACUCUACAAGCAUGGACUCUACAAGACCCCUGAAGGUGUCCCGUGGUAUCUGGCAACAAUAGCAGCAGAUCUUUCAAGUCCUGUAGGUUGCGAGGUGGAGCCACUGUGGAUCGAACUUGUUGGUCCAGCACAUCCCACAGAUGCUCAAAUGGAUUGAGGUAUGUGGAAUUUGGAGGCCAGGGCAACACCUUAAUUUCUUCAUCAUGUUCCUCAAACCAUCCCUGAACAAUGUGUGCAUUAUCCUGCUGAAAGAGGCCACUUCCACGAACGAACAGCAUUGUCAUGAAGGGAUGGACCUGGUCUGCAACAAUGUUUAGUGCAUCCUGGUGCCAUCACUUCCUCGGGUAAACAGCGCACACGUACACAGCCAUCCACGUGAUGUCAUCGUGACUCAUCAGACCAGGCAACCUUCUUCCACUGCUCCAAGGUCCAGUUCAGACACUUGUGUGGCCAUUAAAGGCACUUUCGAGGGUGGACAGGGGUCAUCAUAGGCUCUGAUUGGUCUGCGGCUAUGCAGCAGAGUGUUGUGACACAUUCUUUCCAUAACCAUCAUUAAAAUUUUACCAGAUAGCCUUCAUUGCUUUCGUGCUUUGGGCGCCCAACAUCCUGUUGCCAGUUUGUGGUUUGUCCUGUUGGUAAAUUCUCACCACUGCUGACCGGAAGCAACCCACAAGUCUUGCUAUAACAAUUUGGAACUUGUCAAAGUCACUCAGAUCUUUAUUCCUGCCCAUUUCUUUUGCAUCCAACACAUUGAUUACAAGAAAGCAUUGAAAGCAAGUCACUCAAGCAGGGAGAAACAAGCGUAUGUACACUUCUGAUCACUUCUGAUGAUGUACUGUAAAUAAAAUGCAAUUUUAAUGAUCUCUGUUAUACUAUUUCCCUUAAAAAGGAUAACUAUGCUUUUUCAGCAAGGGGAAUUUAAACUUAAAUGGAUAGUUCACCCAAAAAUGCAAAUUGUGUCAUCAUUUAUUCCCCCUCAAGUUGUUCCAAACCUGUAUAAAUUCUGCUUUACACAAAGGAAGAUAUUUGGAAGAAUUUUUGUAGGAAGUAGGAAAGUAUAAUACUAUGGUAAUCAAAGGGGACGAGAUCUGCUUGAUUACAAACAUUCUUCCAAAUAUCUUCCUUUGUGUUCAGCAGAACAAAAAAAUGUAUACAGGUUUGGAACAACUUGAGGGGGGAGUAAAUGAUGACAGAAUUUUCAUUUUUUUUAUCCCUUUAAUAGUACUGCAUAUUAAAUUACUGGUGGUCCACAUGCUCUUCUGAAAGUCAGAUCUCAAAUUGCUCCAGUGGUACUGUAGCUCUCAGCACACCCUCUCUGUGUGUAAUCAGUUUGCUAUCAUUAAUAGAAGUUGCCAACUGACCUACCUGGUUCACAGUGACCUUGGUGCUUUUUUUGCAACAUGCCACUUUCUCCAGCUUAUCACUCACUGUUUACCACAGAGCAGCACUCUGUGGCCUUUAAGAUGACCCUAAAUUACACUGAUUUACUUUGAAACAAUAUUCACUAAGAAAUUGUUAGUAAAUUUCACAAAUAAUUACAAAGAAACGGCACUUACUCCAAUAAUCUUUAUUUACGACUUUGAAAAAUUAUUUUUUUUACAAUGUAAGUUUUUUUGGAUGGUAAAGACCACUCUGUACAUAAAAUUCAGCAUUUGUUUUUGCUUCGGCUGAAUCACAAGAUGCCCCAUUCAUACAAACUCAAAAUUUUAAAUUUAAUUAGAAAAAAGUAAAAAAACAAGCAUUUUCACCAGUGGUCUUAGAGUUUUGGACCCCACUGUAUGUGUGGAAAUCAGUCAUCGUUCAGCAUCUGUUCAGCAGAUGAUACCGAGGGGUCACAUGGUGUCACUAAGAUUGUUGAAAGAGGGCAAAUGACACCCAGCUCAUGACCUCUGCCUCCUGCUUUUGCCACCCAUCCAUCCUGUCCUGUCACGCUGCGGUCAGACCAGACAGCUCAAUGACAGAGGACAGCUGAAAAAAAAAGAAAAUAAAUUUUUGCCCUCAAAUCUGCUGCUUCUGCUAAACAGAGAGAGCAACAACAACAUCCACCUCAUGUGUGAAAUACCGUUUGCAAUGGGGAUGACGUGUAUACUGAGAGCAGGGGUAAUGUGCCAGGACCAGUUCACCACGACCUAUAAUAUCAAUGUGUGCUGCCAAGAGCAAAGGAGCAUGAAGGCCUUAAAACAAAUAGACAGUGCCUUUAUCAAUAAUUACUGAAAUAAUGGAAGUGUACAUACUGUAUCUACUUUCGAUCUAUAUAUAGAAUGUGUUAGUAGAAUAUAAGAACAAAGGCAAUUUACCGUAUUUACAAAUCCAUAAAGUUCCCACAGCUUUAGAUCACUGAAUGAUGUUUCUAGUAAUUCAUGAUUAAUAUUUAAAAAAAAUAUUUUGGAUCACAGGAGCAGAUUCCCCAUGUAUAAAGCACAUAUAUAUUUCAGUAUAUAUAAUAUAUAAUUAAUAAAACAAGCUGUUAACAAGUACAUUUACAUUAUUAAAUGUAAAAAAAAUCUAUUGUUAGUUCAUGGUACCUAAUGCAACAACUAAUAUCACAUAGAAACCGUAGUGUUACCAUUCAAACACUUACAUUACUGUUCAAAUGUUUGGGGUCAAUAAGAUUUUUUUUUAUUUUUUUUUUAAUGUUUUUGAAAGAAGUCUCUUCUGCUUAUCAAAGUGAUGUCAAAGCUGAAUUUUUAGCAUCAUUACUCCAGUCUUCUGUGUCACAUGAUCCUUCAGAAAUCAUUCUAAUAUGCUGAUUUGCUGCUCAAGAAAAAAUUAUUAUUAGCAAUGUUAAAAACAGUUGCGCUGCUUAAUGUUUUGUUAACUGAUGCAUUUUUGUCAGAUUUCUUAUGAAUAGAACGCUCAAAAAAGCAUUCAUUUGAAAUAGAAAUCUUCUGUAACAUAAAUGUCACUUCUGAUCAAUUUAAUGCAUCCUCGCCGAAUAAAAGAAUUCAUUUCUUUAAAAAAAAAAAAAAAAAGAAAAAAAAAAAAAAAAAAAAAAGACUGACCCCAAACUUUUGAUCGACAGUGUUUAUAUUUUAAUGUACAAAUGUCUCAGCUUGGACAAAAUUCAUCCUACGGUUUGAAUGUGGCUCAAUGGAGGAUUCAGCUUUCAGUCCUAUGUGAGCAUAAAUAUGAAAAUUAUAUUUACUACAGAAACAUCCAUGGCUUUUCUCUGUCAUUAAAGAAGUUUAGUGAUUUUUAGGUCUGGAAAUUUUGAUAUUGAAAUUCGCUGACAUAUCCAGAUCUUCUAUGACUGUGGGAAACCUACAUUCAAAUGAAGACGUCUGAUCCACCUGAACUAUGACCUCCACUGUAAGUGUUGAAAGCCUUUUAUAUGAGUCAGUAAGAAAAGACUUGACAAUAAAAGCUUUUGUUUUAUUCAGUUCACUUUUUGUAACAUCUUUAUUGAAUUUGUGUGGUAUUUUAAACAUAUUUACAAUUAUUGUUUUGUUUUUUUUCUUCAGUAAAAAUACAAAUACAGAACACAGCAUUUUCAAAACCCACCCAGCAACACCAGGGAAGAGUGCUGGCCUGGGCUUCACUCACCAUUAGUCAAAGUCAUGUCACUGGGAGAAAAGAAAAUGACACAUACAGGAGUAGCAAGACACCACUGCUGCCAUCUAGAGGGGAGGAGAGGACGCGUCUCCUUCAGGCUGGGAUGAGUGGUUUAGAAACUGAAGAACUGAAAUGACAGGAUACAAAGAGAAAGACCCUUCAGUGGGGCCUGUCGAUGACCCCCAGCAUCCUAUUAAUGGUGCUCAAGUCUUUUUGAAAAACUGAUUCCCAAACAGAUUCUUCAUGACCUAAGAUGGGAAAAUAAUUAACUUCCCCUUCUCCGAUCAACUACAUGAAAUAUUCUGUGGAUGUGCCAUUUUACACAAUAGAAGAUUACAACAUACAAACAAACAACCAAACAUGAGUCAGAGAGCAUAAGGCUGAGCACGUCUUCCAAACAGACUGAAUUAAUAUUCAUUAAAGGUCAAAUAAAACAAACAAAAAAAAAAUUAAA